GCAAGUCGAGGGGCAGCACAAGGAGCAAUCUGAGGUGGCGACCGGCGCACGGGUGAGUAACACGUAUGCAACCUGCCUGUAAGCGGGGAAUAACCCGUUGAAAGACGGACUAAUACCGCAUAAUACUAAAUUACUGCAUGGUAAUUUAUUUUAAACAUUUAUGGCUUACAGAUGGGCAUGCGCAUGAUUAGCUAGUUGGAGAGGUAACGGCUCCCCAAGGCAACGAUCAUUAGGGGUUCUGAGAGGAAGGUCCCCCACACUGGUACUGAGACACGGACCAGACUCCUACGGGAGGCAGCAGUGAGGAAUAUUGGUCAAUGGACGAGAGUCUGAACCAGCCAAGUCGCGUGCAGGAAGAAUGUUCCCUAUGGAUUGUAAACUGCUUUUGCAGGGGAAUAAAGUGCAUCACGUGUGAUGUUUUGUAUGUACUCUGCGAAUAAGGAUCGGCUAACUCCGUGCCAGCCGCCGC
Molecule: ribosomal RNA, 469 nt
Filed under: uncultured bacterium
Lineage: Bacteria
Description: bacterial SSU rRNA
Rfam family: Bacterial small subunit ribosomal RNA
Source: RNAcentral